GCGUGAGUGAUGAAGGCUCUUGGGUCGUAAAGCUCUGUCAGAGGGGAAGAACCUCCCAUCAUAUAAUACAUGGUGGGCCUGACGGUACCCUCAAAGGAAGCACCGGCUAACUCCGUGCCAGCAGCCGCGGUAAUACGGAGGGUGCGAGCGUUGUUCGGAAUUAUUGGGCGUAAAGCGCGUGUAGGCGGUUUGUUAAGUCUGAUGUGAAAGCCCUGGGCUCAACCCAGGAAGUGCAUUGGAAACUGGCAAACUUGAGUACGGGAGAGGAAAGUGGAAUUUCGAGUGUAGGGGUGAAAUCCGUAGAUAUUCGAAGGAACACCAGUGGCGAAGGCGGCUUUCUGGACCGAUACUGACGCUGAGACGCGAAAGCGUGGGGAGCAAACAGGAUUAGAUACCCUGGUAGUCCACGCCGUAAACGAUGGGUACUAGGUGUUGCGGGUAUUGACCCCUGCAGUGCCAAAGCUAACGCAUUAAGUACCCCGCCUGGGGAGUACGGCCGCAA
This 502-nucleotide ribosomal RNA is filed under the name uncultured bacterium. Its description in RNAcentral is "bacterial SSU rRNA". It matches the Rfam family "Bacterial small subunit ribosomal RNA", at positions 399 to 891 of the family's 1533-position model. The record is from RNAcentral.